UGAUUUCACUGCCCUCGGUGGUCUCUACCAAUGGGUCCUGCUGCACCUGGGCUCUGCCUGCAGACACUGGCGGGGAGAUAAAGAAGAAAAACCGUCAGAAGUGCUUUUUGCACCGGAUGUUGUUUCCCAGAACAAAGGGCACAGAAGUGGUCAGGACCAUAUGGAGAAGAAUUUUAAGAGGAUGUCAAGGAGUAAGAUCGUCUGGAGUGAACACAUUCAAGAGGGCAAGUACGAGCUUUACAACCAUUUUUCUCUAUUCAGUGAUAUUUCCCCACAGGCCCGGAAAAGGCUGUUGAGUGUUUUCUGGGAGGAAGAAGGAUGCAUUGAUGAAAAGCCAGGAUAUAGGGAGGAGGUGGCCCAGGCAGAAAGUGAGGAUGAGAUAGCCAAAGUUCAUGCUGAGACCAACCUGCCUUUUUGUUGAGAGGUUCAGAAAUCACCACCCUGUCCUGAGAGAAGAGAGCUGCCAGAAACGACUCUCUUGGGGAGCAAAGGAAGCAGGAGGAGAGGGAAAUUAACUGUUCUUUCAGUGCCUGAACAGCUCUCUUUGGGUUUCUCCCUCCCCCAGCAGCAACCCCUGUGACUCCCUCAGCCAAUGGCAUUCUGAGCAUUGCUGGGCUCUGGGGCCUCACUCAUGGGCAGGGGCUGUUCCCGGUCAGAUCGCAGUGCAGUCAGUCCUCCCCUCCCCAGUUGCAAUCGCCUGCUCUGCUGCACACCCACUGCUGGGCUUUUGGGAACUGCGGGCUUAUUCCCUGCUGCACCUUUCACAUCUUCCCGUGCUGUCCGCAGUUCUCUGGGCUGCUUGCAGCUUCCUCAGGGAACACGUGUCUCCUCCUCCUCUGUGGCUUCUCCCCUGUGCUUCUUCAUCUGCCUUGGAAGAAUGCCUCUCUCCCAGCUCCCCAGGAUAGGGAGAUGAGCCUUGCUGGGCAGCAGCCCAGGGGCUCUAGCUGUGCCGUUCUCUGCCGGGGAAAUGCACAGUGCGAGAGAGGAACGUGGCUCCAGCAGGGCUGCUGGAUAUCCCAGCCCCAAUGGUGGCAAGGACAGCAUAUUUCCGGGGGAAUGUGCUGAGGGAUGAGCAGGGAACAGGAUGAAGACCCUCACGCACACGCAGGGAGCACACAUGGCAAUCACCGGAGUGCUGCCGGCGAGUGGUGGGGCUGGGAGAGCCCUGGCCCACCCAUCUGAAAGGGCAGCUGGUGGCUUGGCAGAUGGAGACCCGUAAUCCCAGCCCCUGGGCAGGCACCUUUGGUCUGGGAGGAAUCUUCGUCCGUAUUCAUUUUUGGGCCUCGGAUGGCUGAGUUCGGCGCGGCUCUCCUCCAUGCGAAUGACUGCCCUCCCAGCCAGGAAAGAAAGCCUUGACCCUCUGUCUCUCACCUGCUGUUGGUGCUCUGUUCUUGGCACUAUGUGUACAGCAAGAGCUUUCUGGGUGGGCACCUUUGGUCUGGGAGGAAUCUUCGUCCAUCUUGAAGUUUGGCCCUCGGACGGCCCGUUGCAGCGCGGCGCUCCUGCCAGUGAAUGACUGCCCUUCCACCCAGGAAAUAAAGGCCUGACCCUCCAUCUCUCGUGUGCACUUGGUGCACCACUCUCGGAACUA
Pipra filicauda (Wire-tailed manakin) is the source of this 1591-nucleotide long non-coding RNA. RefSeq lists it as uncharacterized. The record is from RefSeq and is a predicted model, not a curated record. The transcript has 2 exons. NCBI's taxonomy places the organism in Eukaryota, Metazoa, Chordata, Aves, Passeriformes, Pipridae.